UUUCCGUAGGUGAACCUGCGGAAGGAUCAUUAUUGUAUAACCGAGGUGCGAGGGCUGUCGCUGACCCGAAAGGUCGUGCACGCCCGAGUACCCUCACACACAUCCAUCUCACCCCUACGUGCACCACCGCGUGGGUCCCCCUUUGGCUUGUUCGGAGGGGGGCUUACGUUUUCACACAAACUUUGUAUGCAGUGUAGAAUGUAUUUUUUGUUUUUGCGAUCACGCAAUCAAUACAACUUUCAACAACGGAUCUCUUGGCUCUC
This 263-nucleotide unclassified non-coding RNA is filed under the name plant metagenome. Its description in RNAcentral is "partial contains small subunit ribosomal RNA, internal transcribed spacer 1, and 5.8S ribosomal RNA". The record is from RNAcentral.